Molecule: ribosomal RNA, 253 nt
Filed under: uncultured bacterium
Lineage: Bacteria
Description: partial 16S ribosomal RNA
Rfam family: Bacterial small subunit ribosomal RNA
Source: RNAcentral
UACGGUGGGGGCAAGCGUUGUUCGGAAUUACUGGGCGUAAAGGGCUCGUAGGCGGCCACCUAAGUCGGAUUUGAAAUCCCCAAGCUUAACUUGGGAACUGCAUCCGAUACUGGAUGGCUUGAAUCCGGGAGAGGGAUGCAGAAUUCCAGGUGUAGCGGUGAAAUGCGUAGAUAUCUGGAGGAAUACCGGUGGCGAAGGCGGCAUCCUGGACCGGCAUUGACGCUGAGGAGCGAAAGCUAGGGGAGCAAACGGG